UCUUUGUGGUGUGACUGCGUACCUUUUGUAUAAUGGGUCAACGACUUACAUUCAGUAGCGAGCUUAACCGAGUAGGGGAGGCGUAGGGAAACCGAGUCUUAAUAGGGCGACUAGUUGCUGGGUGUAGACCCGAAACUGAGUGAUCUAUCCAUGGCCAGGAUGAAGGUGCGGUAAAACGCAUUGGAGGUCCGAACCCACGCAUGUUGCAAAAUGCGGGGAUGAGCUGUGGAUAGGGGUGAAAGGCUAAACAAACUCGGAGAUAGCUGGUUCUCCCCGAAAACUAUUUAGGUAGUGCCUCGAGUAUGAGACUGAUGGGGGUAAAGCACUGUUAUGGCUAGGGGGUUAUUGCAACUUACCAACCCAUGGCAAACUAAGAAUACCAUCAAGUUGCUCCUCGGGAGACAGACAUCGGGUGCUAACGUCCGGUGUCAAGAGGGAAACAACCCAGACCGCCAGCUAAGGUCCCAAAUGAUAGAUUAAGUGGUAAACGAAGUGGGAAGGCACAGACAGCCAGGAUGUUGGCUUAGAAGCAGCCAUCAUUUAAAGAAAGCGUAAUAGCUCACUGGUCGAGUUUUCCUGCGCGGAAGAUGUAACGGGGCUCAAAUCUAUAACCGAAGCUGCGGAUAUACUUUUGUAUAUGGUAGGGGAGCGUUCUGUAAGCCUGUGAAGGUGACUUGUAAAGGUUGCUGGAGGUAUCAGAAGUGCGAAUGUUGACAUGAGUAGCGAUAAAGCGGGUGAAAAGCCCGCUCGCCGAAAGCCCAAGGUUUCCUACGCAACGUUCAUCGGCGUAGGGUGAGUCGGUCCCUAAGGCGAGGCAGAAAUGCGUAGUCGAUGGGAAACAGGUUAAUAUUCCUGUACUUUGAUUCAAUGCGAUGUGGGGACGGAGAAGGUUAGGUUAGCAAACUGUUGGAAUAGUUUGUUUAAGCCAGUAGGUGGAAAGAGUAGGCAAAUCCGCUCUUUCUUAACACCGAGACGUGAUGACGAGUGUCUACGGACAUGAAGUGACCAAUACCACGCUUCCAGGAAAAGCCACUAAGCUUCAGUUGAAUCAGAACCGUACCGCAAACCGACACAGGUGGGCAGGAUGAGAAUUCUAAGGCGCUUGAGAGAACUCGGGAGAAGGAACUCGGCAAAUUGAUACCGUAACUUCGGGAGAAGGUAUGCCCUCUAAUGUUAAGGACUUGCUCCGUAAGCAUCUGAGGGUCGCAGAGAAUCGGUGGCUGCGACUGUUUAUUAAAAACACAGCACUCUGCUAACACGAAAGUGGACGUAUAGGGUGUGACGCCUGCCCGGUGCUGGAAGGUUAAUUGAAGAUGUGCAAGCAUCGGAUCGAAGCCCCAGUAAACGGCGGCCGUAACUAUAACGGUCCUAAGGUAGCGAAAUUCCUUGUCGGGUAAGUUCCGACCCGCACGAAUGGCGUAACGAUGGCCACACUGUCUCCUCCCGAGACUCAGCGAAGUUGAAAUGGUUGUGAAGAUGCAAUCUCCCCGCUGCUAGACGGAAAGACCCCGUGAACCUUUACUGUAGCUUUGCAUUGGACUUUGAAGUCACUUGUGUAGGAUAGGUGGGAGGCUUUGAAGCAGAGACGCCAGUCUCUGUGGAGCCGUCCUUGAAAUACCACCCUGGUGACUUUGAGGUUCUAACCCAGACCCGUUAUCCGGGUCGGGGACCGUGCAUGGUAGGCAGUUUGACUGGGGCGGUCUCCUCCCAAAGAGUAACGGAGGAGUUCGAAGGUUACCUAGGUCCGGUCGGAAAUCGGACUGAUAGUGCAAUGGCAAAAGGUAGCUUAACUGCGAGACCGACAAGUCGAGCAGGUGCGAAAGCAGGACAUAGUGAUCCGGUGGUUCUGAAUGGAAGGGCCAUCGCUCAACGGAUAAAAGGUACUCCGGGGAUAACAGGCUGAUUCCGCCCAAGAGUCCAUAUCGACGGCGGAGUUUGGCACCUCGAUGUCGGCUCAUCACAUCCUGGGGCUGUAGUCGGUCCCAAGGGUAUGGCUGUUCGCCAUUUAAAGUGGUACGUGAGCUGGGUUUAAAACGUCGUGAGACAGUUUGGUCCCUAUCUGCAG
Molecule: ribosomal RNA, 2065 nt
Filed under: Kingella kingae
Lineage: Bacteria; Pseudomonadati; Pseudomonadota; Betaproteobacteria; Neisseriales; Neisseriaceae
Description: partial 23S ribosomal RNA
Rfam family: Bacterial large subunit ribosomal RNA
Source: RNAcentral